This 1972-nucleotide long non-coding RNA is filed under the name Sus scrofa (pig). RNAcentral's name for it is "lncRNA (ENSSSCG00025022999.1)". The record is from RNAcentral. Lineage: Eukaryota; Metazoa; Chordata; Mammalia; Artiodactyla; Suidae.
GCUUCCUGCUCAGCCUUCCACCAGUUUUAUGAGACUGAUGAGUGACAGAGCCUUUCAGUGAUGUGGAGAGCAGGCAAGAAAGCACGUGUCCUAAAUUGCGUAGAGAGUUCAAGCAACGUGAUGACAAAAGCAGGAAUCUCACGGACUCUCACAAAGAGGAAAAGAAAGUGACUUAUUAUUUGAGAAGUCCUCACUGCCUAUGGCUAAAAAAAACAGAUCAGCACUACUGGGGAAGAAAAUGCACGACCAGAGACACUUCUAAGAACCCAAGGUCCUACCAGACCACCAUCGCCCUCAUGCUUCGCUGUGCAUGCUUUUUGCAGAGGACGGCGGAUGCCCUGCGGGAAAUUGCCAUCAGAGCUGGAGUGAUCAUCUCGGAGCCAGACUUUCCAGGUCAUCGCAGAAAGAAUCUCUCGCGUCAGUUAUUUGUCCUUGACAAAAUGGACUAUGAUAUUUCCCAAUGCUUUGAAAAGUUGUGUGUUGACAAAAAUAAACAAAGACUUUUUUUUUUUCUCCUCAUAUAUACAUCUGUCAAUAUUUUACAAUAUUUUGUAAGCAGCCUUGAUACCGGGCAUUUUGGGGCAUCUUGAAUAUACAGAAGUUUUCCCAUGCGUACUGUACAUUCAUUAAUCAUUGCACCAGAAUCCCUUUUCUACCAAAUCAGGUUCUUCCUCCUUAAGUCUUCAACAAAGACAUUUUUUUGACAAAGAUGUUUUUUGAAGGAGAGUGAGCAAACCCAAAGUGAAGUCCAGAGAGAGAAGUUCUACUUACACCGAAGUUACGACCACAACCAUUUAUGGAAUGUUCCUGUUUUUUGUUUGGUCUUUUUUUGGGGGGGGGGUGCCCACAGCAUGUGGAAGUUCUGGGGCCAGGGAUCCAACCUGUGCCACAGUAGUGACUCGAGCCACUGCAGUGACGAAGCUAGAUCCUUAACCUGCUGAGCCACCAGGGAACUCCUGAAAUAGUCCUCUCUUAUCCCCCAAAGGCAGAGAGAGGAGAAGGGAAAGAGUGACAGAGAGAGGAAUUCAACCCACAUUCCUGAUUAUCCAGGCCCUCAGGUCUCUGAGGAAGGGUUUUCUGAAUCAGUAAUGAAGCAUCAAUUACGUUAAGUAAAGGGGCAUUAGAGACGUGAGGAAACCAUGAGUCAUUGAAAGGUCUGGGGGAUUACUAGAAGCCUUACAUUUAGCUUACGAUUUAACUGAUCUCCUUUCAUUUGGUCUUCUGGAUCAUAUUUGAUUUAGAGCUUUUUACAGUAUGAACCAUACAUAGUAUUCUUGCCGUUGACAUGCUGCUUAAUUCCCUGAAGUCUUCAUCAAAUUCCGUUUUAAUAUAUCUUUCAUCACUCUAUUAUAGUCUGUCUGGUGAUGUCAGCUUUUCUGAAGAUAAGUCUAUCCUGCUGGUAUUUUUUUUUUAUUCCUUCCACAGAGUUUGAACUCUAUGAUCUGUGCUCUUUUAUUUUGUAAGGUGUAAACUUUUUCCACACCAAAAGUUUUUUUCAUAAAAAAGACCUGACAUCUCUUUACAGAUGUUAAUUAAUUCCCUCACUGGGAAGUAUUCCAUGUAUUUUGCAUCCUUGGGAAACGGGGACAGAGAGCGAAGUGACAUAUUGAAAUCAUGUAAAAACUCGGCGCCAGAGCUCGAAUUAUUACCCAGGAGAUAAAUUCGCACUCUUCGCUUCAGAGAGCAAUUGUAUUCUGAACUUGACACAAAUAAUGAUCAAAAAAUCAAAUCAUCAAGUAGAAGAGACCUGCCUGAGUUCCCGCCACUGACAUGCAAACCUACAGAGAAACUUACUCUUCAAGCAGGGGUAGCCGCUAAGAUGGACAGUGAAACUCGUAUUACCAAGAUUUUAUUACCGUGUGCAUACACACACACAGCAGGAUUUUUAGUAUCCUACUACGAAGUGUUAUUUGAAAUCAUUAAAACUAAACUGCACCUGUCAAAAUAAAUCAACCAAUACGUUUAGUGAUUC